Coturnix japonica (Japanese quail) is the source of this 899-nucleotide non-coding RNA. The record is from RefSeq and is a predicted model, not a curated record. NCBI's taxonomy places the organism in Eukaryota, Metazoa, Chordata, Aves, Galliformes, Phasianidae.
CGGCCGUUCCGCUCAGCGACCGACGUGAGCGUUACUGAUGGGUCCUGCCGAUGAGCUGAGAACUGCUGUUAAUCUGAAAGGAAAUUACCUACAGAGAUGUGUGGCUGGCAAGUGGAAGGAACCUGUUUGUAGGAAACUGCAGUUUCACUCCAGUAACCUGCAUAAAGAGAAGAACAAAAAGCCAGUUUACAAUCCUGACCUUGGAACUCAGAAAUAGGCAGACAGUGAUGACAACAUCCACUUUACGGUCAGAACGCUUCUGUGCCUCACCCAAGCUCCAUUUCUGCCGGGAGGCAGGAUCUGGUGGCCGCUGCCUCUUUCCACAUCGCUGCGUUUCUUCACGAGUGAUUUCCCCUUGUGGCACAUUGACAGAGCGUGAGCAGUAAGGGCCACACAGCAAAGCACGCAGCCGCCACAGGCAGUUUCAUCCACUUCUUCUGACUACAGAAGCUGCAAUUACAUUGUAUUCCCAUGUGGUCUGUUGAUACAGUUUGUUUCAAUACAUGUAAAUAGCAACCAGCUACCAUGGGUAUGAUGAUAUCAGGUACUAAAAAUACACUGAAAUAAAUGGCUUUUGGACUUAUUGCAGCAUACUAGAAAGGAAAUUCAUCUCCUGAAUUAAUUUCAUUCCUUACAAUCACUGAAAAAUUUAUAAGAAUAUAAAAAAAGAUCUUUAAACAAAGUCCUCAAAGUGUGAAAUCAAAGACAACGUGAACAACAGGGAACUCAUCUUCCCUAACCCAUGCUGUCCUAGCAGGCUAGAGAUCAGAAGCAGGAUUUACAAGCUCUAGGCCUGUUUUGUUUCUGUCUGCUGCAUGACUUUGUGCAGACCACUGAAAUACUCCAAGAGUCCUGCAAAGAAUCCAGUGAUGUUUUAACAGUUACUCUCCCUUUUUCCU